UCCUAAGAUGUAUCCUAAGUUGAUGUUCGUUUCCUUUAGUAACACGUCGGUGGCACCUGAAAGACUCCACACUUGGAGUCGAAACUCUACUAGUUUCUGUUGGAGGUAAUUCUCUCGCUGCUGCUGCUGCUGCAUGCUUUCUUCGGGCAGUUUAGAAGCUGGGAAAAUCACACCGCGUGUAAACACGGGAACGUAGCAAAAUACCAUGCAAAGUUACCAAGACAAACAUAUUGUGCCAAACAUACAAAAAGUCUCCAUGUGAUCCGAGCUUACUUGUCGGUGUAUUUUACUUUGUCACGGUAAGGCUUGACCAGAACACGAGCUCCGCAAACAUAGUGGGGAUUGCCUUCGGCCAGAAUGGUCUUGACAGUUUCUCCAUGGAUGAAGGUUACGAAUCCAAACAUACGCUUCUGCUGAUAAGGGAUUCGUACGUCCUGAACAGGACCAUAAGCGCUGGCAAGCAAGCAACAAGGCAGCUACAUGAGAGUGAAAGCGCUCUCAGCAGGGAACGUCAAAUAUAUCUGACGAGAGCUGGGACUUACGAUGCCAUUAUGAUCAUAAUUAUCUCCACGAUGAGCCGCAACCGCAAGCCUGGAACUUUCUUCAACCAGGACGACUGCCUGCUGUCCAUUGGGCCUGAGAAGCGAACUACUUGUCAGACGCAUGCAAGACGGACUCGAACGAAGAUCGAUCGGCUUACUGAUCGAUGACGAGAGUGUUCUUCAUAUGGCAAAGCAGGCUGGUUAAACCGGAUCCUUGUACGGCCUCGGGAGUCGCCAGGAACCCGUCAACGUGGAGAGCGCUCCCGAAUUCCUCGAAGUACAUCUGCGGAAGCAACGAGAUUGGCACCGGUGACUUUCUGGCACGGAGCAGCUCUUGAAUCUCCAAU
Molecule: long non-coding RNA, 889 nt
Organism: Selaginella moellendorffii
Lineage: Eukaryota; Viridiplantae; Streptophyta; Lycopodiopsida; Selaginellales; Selaginellaceae
Exons: 4
Source: RefSeq, a predicted model, not a curated record